ACAAGAGAGGAGGAAGCCUGGAA
RNAcentral lists this non-coding RNA (23 nucleotides) under Cricetulus griseus (Chinese hamster). The record is from RNAcentral. Lineage: Eukaryota; Metazoa; Chordata; Mammalia; Rodentia; Cricetidae.